This 736-nucleotide ribosomal RNA is filed under the name Neobacillus pocheonensis. Its description in RNAcentral is "bacterial SSU rRNA". It matches the Rfam family "Bacterial small subunit ribosomal RNA", at positions 173 to 917 of the family's 1533-position model. The record is from RNAcentral. Lineage: Bacteria; Bacillati; Bacillota; Bacilli; Caryophanales; Bacillaceae.
CAUCCUUUUCCUCUCGUGAGGGAACGUUGAAGAUGGCUCACGCUAUCACUUACAGAUGGGCCCGCGGCGCAUUAGCUAGUUGGUGAGGUAACGGCUCACCAAGGCGACGAUGCGUAGCCGACCUGAGAGGGUGAUCGGCCACACUGGGACUGAGACACGGCCCAGACUCCUACGGGAGGCAGCAGUAGGGAAUCUUCCGCAAUGGACGAAAGUCUGACGGAGCAACGCCGCGUGAGCGAUGAAGGCCUUCGGGUCGUAAAGCUCUGUUGUUAGGGAAGAACAAGUAUCGGAGUAACUGCCGGUACCUUGACGGUACCUAACCAGAAAGCCACGGCUAACUACGUGCCAGCAGCCGCGGUAAUACGUAGGUGGCAAGCGUUGUCCGGAAUUAUUGUGCGUAAAGCGCGCGCACGCGGUCCUUUAAGUCUGAUGUGAAAGCCCACGGCUCACCGUGCAGGGUCAUUGGAAACUGGCGGACUUGAGUGCUACCAGAAGUGGAAUUCCACGUUAGCGGUGAAAUGCGUAGAGAUGUGCACGAACACCAGUGGCGACGCGACUUUCUGGUCUGUAACUGACGCUUAAGGACGAAGCUUGGGGAGCAACUUGAAUAAAUACCUGGUAUUCCAAGCCGUAAACGAUGAUGCUAAUGUUAACGCUUCCGCCAUUAAUGCGGCGCUACCGAUAAAACACUCUCUCUGGGGAGAACGCCCCACGCUGAAUCCAAAGAAAUCACGGG